This is a long non-coding RNA of Mytilus californianus (California mussel), 1023 nucleotides long. RefSeq lists it as uncharacterized. The record is from RefSeq and is a predicted model, not a curated record. Lineage: Eukaryota; Metazoa; Mollusca; Bivalvia; Mytilida; Mytilidae. The transcript is spliced from 4 exons.
AAUAGUGAUUUUGGUCAAAUGUUCUUUUAGGGGGAAAAUUUGUAUUGUUCUGGACACUCUCAUUUCAACUGUCUUAUUGAGCAGUUAUAUUUCAUAAUUCUGGAGUUUGUAAAUUGGCUUGAUAUAUUUUGCUGUACUUAUUGUUGAAUCUUUGGGAAUCUAAAUUAUUACUUUACAGGUUAAUAUUUGAUGUAGCCAUACAUAUAUGAUGUACACAGUCUUGUGACCUUCAAAUUAGUACUUGGGAUUUUCAGUUUAAUAUAUGACCUAAUUGAAGACACAGACAUUAUAUGAGAACUUGUACAAAAUACUGUGGGACAUGUUAGGUGGUAAAGAAUAUUUUCCAAGCUGUCUCAUAAUGUGACUUGAUUGACAUAAAUCAUGUUGUCAAAUAUUGUAAGAAAGAACCAUUAAGGACUUUUUAACUUCCCAUACAUACAUGUGGCGAAAUUUUGAAAAAUUGAACAGGGAUGAUAAACAGCUGUUACUAAAAUAUUGAAAUAACCAAAUAAAAAAAAAUAACACAAACAAUUUACGCUCUUUUAAAAUUGUCAUGGUGACAAACACUACAAGUUUAAAUUAUGUCAUUAGGCUGUUAACAUUUUUUUUUGACAAUAUUUGGUUGUUGCAAGGAUUUUUAUAGUAAGAUAUAUCUUACUAUAUAAAAUUUUUCCUUGGUUGUUGAAUAUGGAAGUAUUUUUCCAAACAAAAAUAGACUAAAAUAAAAAGCUCCGCUGGGCGCAGCUUGAUACGACCGCAGAGGUCGAACCCUGAACAGUUGGGGCAAGUAUGGACACAACAUUCAAGCUUGAUACAGCACUGAAUUUGGAUUGUGAUUAAAUAUUUGACACAGCAUAGGUUUCUGACACAGAAUGAAUGUGGUCUAAGAACUUAAAAUUUUUAAUUUACCUAUUCAAACCAUAUCAUUAUUAUUUGCUUUUAUAUAUAAAUCAGAAAUAACCAAUUUAAAAUGGAAAAUUUUAAAGAAAAAAAGGAAAAAAAAUCCCCCCCCCCCAAUUUUUU